AGUGAACGCUGGCGGCAGGCCUAAUACAUGCAAGUCGAACGGCAGCACGGCAGAGCUUGCUCUGUGGGUGGCGAGUGGCGGACGGGUGAGGAAUACAUGGGAAUCUGCCCAGUCGUGGGGGAUAACGUAGGGAAACUUACGCUAAUACCGCAUGCGCCCUUCGGGGGAAAGCCGGGGACCUUCGGGCCUGGCGCGAUUGGAUGAGCCCAUGUCGGAUUAGCUAGUUGGCGGGGUAAUGGCCCACCAAGGCGACGAUCCGUAGCUGGUCUGAGAGGAUGAUCAGCCACACUGGAACUGAGACACGGUCCAGACUCCUACGGGAGGCAGCAGUAGGGAAUAUUGGACAAUGGGCGCAAGCCUGAUCCAGCCAUGCCGCGUGAGUGAAGAAGGCCCUCGGGUUGUAAAGCUCUUUUGUCCGGAAAGAAAGCGCCGGGUUAAUACCCUGGUGUCCUGACGGUACCGGAAGAAUAAGCACCGGCUAACUUCGUGCCAGCAGCCG
RNAcentral lists this ribosomal RNA (499 nucleotides) under uncultured bacterium. RNAcentral describes it as "bacterial SSU rRNA". It matches the Rfam family "Bacterial small subunit ribosomal RNA", at positions 29 to 517 of the family's 1533-position model. The record is from RNAcentral.